CAGUCGCCGCGGUAAUACGGAGGGAGCUGGCGUUGUUCGGAAUUACUGGGCGUAAAGCGUGCGUAGGCGGUUACUCAAGUCAGAGGUGAAAGCCCGGGGCUCAACCCCGGAACUGCCUUUGAAACUAGGUGACUAGAAUCUUGGAGAGGUCAGUGGAAUUCCGAGUGUAGAGGUGAAAUUCGUAGAUAUUCGGAAGAACACCAGUGGCGAAGGCGACUGACUGGACAAGUAUUGACGCUGAGGUGCGAAAGCGUGGGGAGCAAACAGGAUUAGAGACCCCGGUAGUCCCUGUCUCUUAUAC
RNAcentral lists this ribosomal RNA (301 nucleotides) under uncultured bacterium. RNAcentral's name for it is "partial 16S ribosomal RNA". It matches the Rfam family "Bacterial small subunit ribosomal RNA", at positions 509 to 807 of the family's 1533-position model. The record is from RNAcentral.